GGAGUUGACCAGACAGUCGCCGCUUUACCUCUCUUCGGGAGAAGUAAAGGGGAGGAAAGUCCGGGCUCCAUAGGGCAGGGUGCCAGAUAACGUCUGGGAGGUGAAAGCCUACGACCAGUGCAACAGAGAGCAAACCGCCGAUGGCCCAGUUUUCUGGGAUCAGGUAAGGGUGAAAGGGUGCGGUAAGAGCGCACCGCGCGACUGGUAACAGUUCGUGGCACGGUAAACUCCACCCGGAGCAAGACCAAAUAGGGGUUCAUGUGGUACGGCCCGUAUCGAACCCGGGUAGGUUGCUUGAGCCAGUGCGCAAGUGCUGGCCUAGAUGAAUGGCUGUCCAAGACAGAACCCGGCUUAUCGGUCAACUUCACAA
RNAcentral lists this RNase P RNA (370 nucleotides) under Xenorhabdus beddingii. RNAcentral's name for it is "RNaseP_bact_a". It matches the Rfam family "Bacterial RNase P class A". From Rfam's summary of the family: Ribonuclease P (RNase P) is a ubiquitous endoribonuclease, found in archaea, bacteria and eukarya as well as chloroplasts and mitochondria. Its best characterised activity is the generation of mature 5'-ends of tRNAs by cleaving the 5'-leader elements of precursor-tRNAs. The record is from RNAcentral. Lineage: Bacteria; Pseudomonadati; Pseudomonadota; Gammaproteobacteria; Enterobacterales; Morganellaceae.